Molecule: ribosomal RNA, 228 nt
Filed under: uncultured bacterium
Lineage: Bacteria
Description: partial 16S ribosomal RNA
Rfam family: Bacterial small subunit ribosomal RNA
Source: RNAcentral
GAUCCUGGCUCAGGAUGAACGCUAGCUACAGGCUUAACACAUGCAAGUCGAGGGGCAGCAUGGUCUUAGCUUGCUAAGGCCGAUGGCGACCGGCGCACGGGUGAGUAACACGUAUCCAACCUGCCGUCUACUCUUGGGACAGCCUUCUGAAAAGGAAGAUUAACUACAAGAUGGCAUCAUGAGUCCGCAUGUUCACAUGAUUAAAGGUAUUCCGGUAGACGAUGGGGA